UGGCUUCAGCAGCACGUAUACUAAAAUUGGAACGAAACAGAGAAGAUUGGCAUGGCCCCUGUGCAAGGACGACAAGCAAAUUCACGAAGCGAUGCAUAAGAAA
Small nuclear RNA from Peromyscus leucopus (white-footed mouse), 103 nucleotides. Lineage: Eukaryota; Metazoa; Chordata; Mammalia; Rodentia; Cricetidae. The record is from RefSeq and is a predicted model, not a curated record.